Triticum aestivum (bread wheat) is the source of this 630-nucleotide long non-coding RNA. RefSeq lists it as uncharacterized. The record is from RefSeq and is a predicted model, not a curated record. The transcript is spliced from 3 exons. Lineage: Eukaryota; Viridiplantae; Streptophyta; Magnoliopsida; Poales; Poaceae.
AUCCCCGUGCGGCGGACCCGAUCCAAGCGAGAAGCAGCAAUCCGCUAUCUUGGUGUCGCUCCUGCCGUCAAUGUUCCGGCCGGCCGGCAGUACUGCAGGUCGUACAUCGCGGCGCACCGAAGCCUCGGCUGCCCCACCGCCCUCAACCCGCCGCCAUGGACAGAUGAUCUCUCUCCACCGUACGUCGGAUACCCUACUGCCUGAGUCAGCGCCGCCGGCGACCUUCCCUCCCACUACAGUAGUAGGAUGAACUGGAUCAGAUAUUGGAAGUGGUACUGUCACAUAUCCUGGCAUCUGCUCAGCCUGCAGCAUGGCACAUGAGUCUUCGACAUCAUUGAGGAUUUCUGCAUCGGCAAAUUGGAAGACUGAUGUGGAAUAGGAGAGGAUGUAAAAACUCUCAAAGUGUGAACCCAUGUGCUCGUCUGCAAUUCCUUGAAGAUGAUGAGAACGAACAAAACCAUUUCGUAAUUGUGAUGAGGACUGCUCCAGGGCCCAGCUUUGUGGUUCUGAUCACAUGUUUGACUCAUGCUUACUCUGGUACAUGGUCUCCAUCCACCCAUCGUCUACAUAUGGCCUCGCCGGAUCGCCACACAGCACCGUCGUCUACGUCUGUCUCGCCUGACAGGCACU